UACGGGGGGGGUAAGCGUUGUUCGGAAUUACUGGGCGUAAAGGGCUCGUAGGCGGCCUACUAAGUCGGACGUGAAAUCCCUCAGCUUAACUGGGGAACUGCGUCCGAUACUGGAUGGCUUGGAUUUGGGAGAGGGAUGCGGAAUUCCAGGUGUAGCGGUGAAAUGCGUAGAUAUCUGGAGGAACACCGGUGGCGAAGGCGGCAUCCUGGACCAAUAUUGACGCUGAGGAGCGAAAGCCAGGGGAGCAAACGGG
Molecule: ribosomal RNA, 253 nt
Filed under: uncultured bacterium
Lineage: Bacteria
Description: partial 16S ribosomal RNA
Rfam family: Bacterial small subunit ribosomal RNA
Source: RNAcentral